This 545-nucleotide ribosomal RNA is filed under the name uncultured Glomus. Its description in RNAcentral is "SSU rRNA". It matches the Rfam family "Eukaryotic small subunit ribosomal RNA", at positions 548 to 1095 of the family's 1831-position model. Lineage: Eukaryota; Fungi; Glomeromycota; Glomeromycetes; Glomerales; Glomeraceae. The record is from RNAcentral.
UUGGAGGGCAAGUCUGGUGCCAGCAGCCGCGGUAAUUCCAGCUCCAAUAGCGUAUAUUAAAGUUGUUGCAGUUAAAAAGCUCGUAGUUGAAUUUCGGGAUCAAUACGUCGGUCGUGCUUCGGUACGUACUGGCGUAAUUGAUUUCUCCCUUCUGACGAACCAUGAUGUCAUUAACUUGGUGUCAUGGGAAAUCAGGACUGUUACUUUGAAAAAAUUAGAGUGUUUAAAGCAGGCUCACGCUUGAAUACAUUAGCAUGGAAUAAUGAAAUAGGACGUUCGAUCCUAUUUUGUUGGUUUUUAGGAUCAACGUAAUGAUUAAUAGGGAUAGUUGGGGGCAUUAGUAUUCAAUUGUCAGAGGUGAAAUUCUUGGAUUUAUUGAAGACUAACUACUGCGAAAGCAUUUGCCAAGGAUGUUUUCAUUAAUCAAGAACGAAAGUUAGGGGAUCGAAGACGAUCAGAUACCGUCGUAGUCUUAACCAUAAACUAUGCCGACUAGGGAUCGGAUGAUGUUAAUUUUUUAAUGACUCAUUCGGCGCCUUACGGUU